GACGAACGCUGGCGGCGUGCCUAAUACAUGCAAGUAGAACGCACAGUUUAUACCGUAGCUUGCUACACCAUAGACUGUGAGUUGCGAACGGGUGAGUAACGCGUAGGUAACCUGCCUGGUAGCGGGUGAUAACUAUUGGAAACGAUAGCUAAUACCGCAUAAUAUUGAUUAUUGCAUGAUAAUUAAUUGAAAGGUGCAAUUGCACCACUACCAGAUGGACCUGCGUUGUAUUAGCUAGUAUGUGAGGUAACGGCGCAACUAGGCGACGAUACAUAGCCGACCUGAGGAGGUGGUCGGCCACACUGGGAAUGAGACACGGCCCAGGCUUCCAAGGGAGGCAGCAGUAGGGGAUCUUCGGCAAUGGACGAAAGUCUGACCGAGCAACGCCGGGUGAGGGAAGAAGGUUUUCGGAUCGUAAAGCUCUGUUGUAAGAGAAGAAAGGGUGUGAGAGUGGAAAGUUCACACUGUGACGGUAUCUUACCAGAAAGGGACGGCUAACUACGUG
Molecule: ribosomal RNA, 505 nt
Filed under: uncultured bacterium
Lineage: Bacteria
Description: partial 16S ribosomal RNA
Rfam family: Bacterial small subunit ribosomal RNA
Source: RNAcentral